Molecule: ribosomal RNA, 497 nt
Filed under: uncultured bacterium
Lineage: Bacteria
Description: partial 16S ribosomal RNA
Rfam family: Bacterial small subunit ribosomal RNA
Source: RNAcentral
GAUGAACGCUGGCGGCGUGCCUAAUACAUGCAAGUCGAGCGAACAGACGAGGAGCUUGCUCCUCUGACGUUAGCGGCGGACGGGUGAGUAACACGUGGAUAACCUACCUAUAAGACUGGGAUAACUUCGGGAAACCGGAGCUAAUACCGGAUAAUAUAUUGAACCGCAUGGUUCAAUAGUGAAAGACGGUUUUGCUGUCACUUAUAGAUGGAUCCGCGCCGCAUUAGCUAGUUGGUAAGGUAACGGCUUACCAAGGCGACGAUGCGUAGCCGACCUGAGAGGGUGAUAGGCCACACUGGAGCUGAGACACGGUCCAGACGCCUACGGGAGGCAGCAGUAGGGAAUCUUCCGCAAUGGGCGAAAGCCUGACGGAGCAACGCCGCGUGAGUGAUGAAGGUCUUCGGAUCGUAAAACUCUGUUAUUAGGGAAGAACAAAUGUGGAAGUAACUAUGCACGUCUUGACGGUACCUAAUCAGAAAGCCACGGCUAACUACGUG